GACGAACGCUGGCGGCGUGCUUAACACAUGCAAGUCGAACGGAAAGGCCCUGCUUUUGUGGGGUGCUCGAGUGGCGAACGGGUGAGUAACACGUGAGUAACCUGCCCUUGACUUUGGGAUUACUUCAGGAAACUGGGGCUAAUACCGGAUAGGAGCUCCUGCUGCAUGGUGGGGGUUGGAAAGUUUCGGCGGUUGGGGAUGGACUCGCGGCUUAUCAGCUUGUUGGUGGGGUAGUGGCUUACCAAGGCUUUGACGGGUAGCCGGCCUGAGAGGGUGACCGGCCACAUUGGGACUGAGAUACGGCCCAGACUCCUACGGGAGGCAGCAGUGGGGAAUAUUGCACAAUGGGCGGAAGCCUGAUGCAGCAACGCCGCGUGCGGGAUGACGGCCUUCGGGUUGUAAACCGCUUUCGCCUGUGACGAAGCGUGAGUGACGGUAAUGGGUAAAGAAGCACCGGCUAACUACGUG
Molecule: ribosomal RNA, 468 nt
Filed under: uncultured bacterium
Lineage: Bacteria
Description: partial 16S ribosomal RNA
Rfam family: Bacterial small subunit ribosomal RNA
Source: RNAcentral